GAUGAACGCUAGCGGCAGGCCUAACACAUGCAAGUCGAGGGAGAGGUUACCUUCGGGUCACCAAAACCGGCGCACGGGUGCGUAACGCGUAUACAAUCUGCCUUUCACAUAGGGAUAGCCCGAAGAAAUUUGGAUUAAUACCUAAUGGUAUAUAAGAGCGGCAUCGUUUUUAUAUUAAAGCUACGGUGGUGAAAGAUGAGUAUGCGUUCUAUUAGCUAGUUGGAGAGGUAACGGCUCCCCAAGGCGACGAUAGAUAGGGGUUCUGAGAGGGAUGUCCCCCACACUGGUACUGAGAUACGGACCAGACUCCUACGGGAGGCAGCAGUGAGGAAGAUUGGACAAUGGUUGGAAGACUGAUCCAGCCAUGCCGCGUGCAGGAUGAAGGUCCUAUGGAUGGUAAACUGCUUUUGUAAGGGAAGAAUAAGGAGUACGUGUACUUUGAUGACGGUACCUUACGAAUAAGCAUCGGCUAACUCCGUG
Molecule: ribosomal RNA, 480 nt
Filed under: uncultured bacterium
Lineage: Bacteria
Description: partial 16S ribosomal RNA
Rfam family: Bacterial small subunit ribosomal RNA
Source: RNAcentral